Peromyscus californicus insignis is the source of this 6557-nucleotide long non-coding RNA. RefSeq lists it as uncharacterized. The transcript has 2 exons. NCBI's taxonomy places the organism in Eukaryota, Metazoa, Chordata, Mammalia, Rodentia, Cricetidae. The record is from RefSeq and is a predicted model, not a curated record.
CUUAAAUGCAGUAUCUGAUUAAUGUUGUAAGUGACAUUGCAUAUCAGCCUCAGAGUCUUGGCUCAACUGGGUAGGAGGGAACAAAGAAAAAUGUCAUCAACUGCUGAUGCAGGAUGAGCCCAAUCACUAACCACUGUUUAGCAAACUCCAAAUUCUGCAACCAGGCAGUAGAAGGCAUUUCUUGCACUUAAGCAGGGCGGCCGCACAAUGAAUGAGUCCUUCUGCUUCUGAAAAUCAAACAGUCCUUUUGCUAAGGAAGAAAAUCAGCUGGAAUGAAUACUGUCAUAUCCUCUUCUUGGAGAGAGCUUGCAAUACACAUCCUGUUCCAGGGCCUAGGUGCCCGAAAGUCUCCAGUCUGUCCUGAACCUGAAGUCACCUUGGAUUCCAGGAAUGUAAAGCCUCGCAGGUCACCCCUUGAUGAGAUCACCCUUAAGUGGAAGCAAUGUUCCUAUGUUGGGAACCGAGGAGCAACCAUCUCAUGGGAACUGGCUUGUCCUCUCCGCUGAUAAGGACUUUUCCAGAAUUGCCCUGUAGAAUGAAGACUGAGGUGGACCACAGACUGAUGGAGGCUGCUUAAUUAUGCAUGUGAUGUACAAUUUCUCCUCGCCCUAGCCCUACAGCUGCUGUCAGGUCCCAGAAGACUUAGUGCUUCAUCUCUGUCUUCCCUGGUCAAAUUGCUUCCUGGUCAAAAUGCUUCCCUGAUUUUCCAUUAUUACUUUCCCACUGAUUUCCGGGGCUAAUGGACAGACCUGAUUUGUUGGGACUCCUGGAGUCCGACCACUGGCCACUCCAGACUUUAGUAAGUGAACUAAUACAUAAUGCACUUGUUACAAUGCGAUGUAACCAUCUGUUGCUUUUACUUUUACUCUGAUAACUAGGUAAAGACCCAGAUAUUUAACAGGGAACUCCAAAUACCAGUAUAUGGAGUCUUAUCUUUGAGAGGAGAGUGAGGUGUUAGAGGUUACUCCUCUCCAUCUGGCUGGGUACACAGAAGUAGAGUGAGUCCUGUCUGGCUGCCAAUAGGUCAUUUGCUCGUCCAUGGGGUAUUAUUAAUCACCACCGGUCCAGCUCUGUUGUUCACUCAGCUGAUGUUUACAGAUUACCUGGGCUCCCAGAGUUUGCGUUGUGAAAGAUCUCCGUCUGGGUUUUAGCCUCCAGCCCUCACUCAUACAAUGCAGGUUUGGCAUCCCUGGUCCUCCUGUCAAAAUUCCUCUGUCCACCACCCACCUCCAGAAACUCUUUGAAAUCACUUCUCUGCCGUGAGACCCCUGGAUUUGUGUCAUUUUUCAAGUGCUUUUGCUAUUAUCUUAGUAUCAUCUUGGUUAGGAGAAAUCAAGCAUGUUUAAUCUGCUAUCUUUCAUCAAAUACUUGUUUACUGUCCGGGUAGGUACAAUUCCAGGGUCCCAUGUCUGAAGUCCUAGGCCUUUUGCAUGCUUUUCUUGAAGUUGAAGGUCCUGGACACUUCUGAGGCAAGGUAGUCCUCCCCCAGGUGACACGCUGUAGUUGAGAGCCCUUUAGAGAUUGUCGCCAAGUGCAGCCCCCAACCCCCAGUCUUUCUGAAUUUGCAAUUAGCAGUGGAAAGGAUUUUAGGCAAGGGUUCAGGAACAAUGUUCCAAGUAAUGAUGGAAACCAUUUAUGAAUAAGAUAUAACUACUGCCAAGCUCUGGCGUCCUUGUGAGCAUGCCUUUUACUGUAACUACCAACAUCUCAUUCCUCUGGGCCAGUGCAGGAAGUCAGUACACAUACUAGCUCCAGAAUGGAUGUGAGUUCUUCCUUUACAAUAGAGGAGUAAUUCCAUUCUGAAUCAGAGUCAUUCAUUGGCUUCUAAUUCACUAUUACCAUUACGUUCACAAUACGAAUGUGCUGAGUAAAAGAUAGUGGAAUUCACGAGCAUUUAGGCAUUUUAAAAUGUUACUGGCAAUUGACUAUAACUUCCACAGAUGAAGAACAAACCCUCAACCAGCUAACCAGAAAUAACAGUAAAUUGGUAACCACAUCCCUAUUUAAGGGAUAUGAUAAUAGUUGUCCGUGUCUAUGGCUAUACCACCCUGAAUGUACCCGAUCUCAAUUGGUAAUAGUUGACCAUGUUAAAGGAAAACCAUGUUAUAGUAUAAGAAAGAUGUCAUUCUGGACAAUUUUCAGUAUUAGAUGUGCUUAGAGCUCAUCAAAGAGUCACAGGAAAACAGAGGCACAGGGCCCCUCUCCCCAGCUGGCAGCUGGCACCUGAUGUUCUCAGAACUCAAGAGUUAGAAUGUUGCCUGCAGCCUGCUACAUGAUGGAGACCAUGAUCAGAGAAGGGGGCAGGAAACAGCCCCAGGAUGUCCAUCAGAUAAAGCUGUGCACCCUGAAUGAUAGGAUGAGGAUUUGGAAGGAGUGUCUUAGAAAAGUGCAAGUAGUGUAACUCUCUGGAGUACCAGGGAAGGGGACAGGGAUGUCCUGUGACUCGGACUAGAGAAACCAAUCUUGCGCUGAAUCAGCAUGCCACCCAGAUUCACCCUUUCCUGACGCUGCUUGUCUCUUUCUGCAGAAUGCUGCAUUAAAAAUAGUUGCACUUUCACAGACUGAGGGUCUUCUCAGUCACAUGUGCGUUGAUCACCACUGAAUCAGAGCAGCAGUGAUCAUCAGUAUGCAUGUCGUCAAGAUGGGAUUUAAAGUGGAAAAUUGUUUACACAGAUGACAGAAUCAGAGACGCUCAGAUUAGUGGCAGCAGGAGUCACUCCCAGUCUGUGUGACAGGAACAAUCAGAGUCUACUGGGGUCACUGACAGCAGUUGGAGACAGGGCAGAUUUCCUGACUGGAGCCAUCCCAUAGUUAGAAUCAGUGGCACAUUCAAGGCCCACAGGCUUAGCAAAAGACGUCUGGCCUUUCCCUCUCUCCCAUCCUCCAGCGGUUCUCAUAGACUGAUUCCAACAGUAGCCUCCCUGACCUGCAAGCCUGGGAAACCUGUUUGCAAGGGUCGGCACCUGUAACGCAGAGCCAUUAGGAGAAGCAUGAAGAAUGGAUCUGAAAGCAAGCAGACUAUGCCCUGUGCAUUGCAUUGCACGCAUUAUGGACACUCCUUAGAUUAAAUGUCUGGUAAGACACUCUGCAUCAUAUAAAUAUGUGUGUAUGUAUGCUUCUGCAGCUCCCUGCCUGCAGUCAAAUGAGCCAUAAGCUGUUGCUAAUCUAGCUGUCAAUGACAUGAUAUUUUAAAAUUUAUAAGCCAGGAAGUUUAUUGACCAUCCAUCUUUGAACAGAAAAUUAUUUCCAUCUUCUGGUUUUAUUUCCAGCCACAACACUACGAGUAUCUGGUCUCAGAUGCAUGGCUACCAUUCCCAUGACUGCAUAAACACCACACAACCCACACACAUACUGCUUUGUCUGUGUGCCCUUUAAACCAACGCCAUCUAAGCUUAACGACAUUUUUUGGGCAAUUUUCACAAGAAGGUAAUAGAGUAACAUUCUGAAACCUGGCCUUCACAGGUGACAGAGGACUGCUCCUUCUCUCUCUCUAAAAGCUGGUGGAGAAGUACGGGGCUGGCUAUUUACCCUCACCCUUUCCACCUGGCAGGUGGCAGGAUAAAGCAUUAGUUGCAGACAGUGCCGUCUUAGAUUCUGAAACGUACAGGACUUGUGGAGAAUGCUGGCGUCUGGCCUUCUUUAGCUGAGAGCAUCCAGCUACAAAGGAGGUGGGAAAGGCUGAGAAGCAGCGCUGGCAGUCUGCUGUCUCCAAAGUCUGAUGGGCCAGCAUUCAGACAACCAGGCUGUACACACCCCUGUGGGUACCAACUCACUUCCGACUUCUCUGAGUCCAAGGGUCUCAUUGUCACUUUCCCUUUGAUCAAGAAGACUUUAAAUAAUGAGAAAAUGGAACCCCAAAGCCGUAGGUUGUGCUGGCUACUGCAUCCUCGCCUUUUGCUGCAAAGAGGUUACAGCUUGGAAGAACAAAAGAAACCUCAUACGCAUCCUAAAUAAUGGUAACAACAUCGGGUAGGAGGGAGAAGAGAAGACUAUGUAAUAAAUUAGAGGGGGUACAUCCCCAGGCAAAUGAUUAGCCCUUAUUCCAGUGUUGUUAGGCCCUGUAGAAAAAAAGGUCUGCAUAGCAGCUGCUCAGACCAGCUAAAGCAGCCUCUGGAGGGACCUGGAUAGGCAAGAAUUCUGGAGGGCCCUGUGAUUUCAGCCCUUAGCAGUGUUGGGAAGCCCCAGCAAGCCCCGAAGACAGCAGGAGUUCCUGGCAGAGGCGUGGCUUUCCCAGCUGAGGAAUCUCAGCACUGCUCAGAACAGUGGAACCCAGCAGAGGGGAGACUAGACUCGGUGGAGGAGGAAGCUCUAAACAGUGCUUGCAACAAACAGCAUGUGUCUGCAGUCAUUUGUAUGCACGCACAAGCUCUUAUGUGGCAUAUUUUUUAUUUUCUCUUGUGGGGUAAUUAGGAGAGGAAUCGCUGGGUCAUGUGGAAAGUUUAACAUUCUGAAGAACUGCUAUGUCCUUUUCCCAACAAAUCCCACCAGCAGUGUAUGAACCUUCAUAGCUCUCCAUCCUCAUCAAUGUUUGCUACAAUCUGUCCUUUCCAUUGCAGCCAUCAUAGAGGGAUAUGGUAUGUCAUUGUGGUUGUGAUUGGCAUUUCCCUGGUGAUUAAUAAUUUGAGCAUCUUCUCACAUAUUUGUUAAACACAUUAAAAUUUCAUUUAUUUUAUGUGUGUAUGUGUAUGUAUGUGUUGUGUGUGUUGUGUGUUGUGUGUGUGUUCAUGGGUGUGUAUGUGGGUAGGUAGAGAGAAGGGUAAUAGUGACAUGUGUCAUGAUGUGUGUGUGUGUGUGUGUGUGUGUGUGUGUGUGUGUGUGUGUGUGUGUAAAUCAGGGGAUAACUCAGGUUCCAGUUCUCUCCCUCUACCAUGUGGGUUGGGUUCUAGGAUCGGAACCCAGGUCAUCAGGUGCCUUUAACUCACUUAGCCAGCUCAGCAACUCAAACCAUUUAUAUAACUUCUUUAAAGAAAUGCCCAUUUGGGUUAUUAGUCUUUUUAUUAUUGGGCUGUAAAGUGAGUCUUCAUAUAUUCUAGGUAUAAGUCCCGCUUUAGAAAUCAUUUGCAAAUAAUUUUUCCUGUUGUGCCGGCUGUUCUAGGAUGCUUCUCUCCCCCUCCCUCUCCUGUGUUCACGUUGGCACAGGUGAACGUGUGUGCCUUAGUGUGUGUGUGUUCCUCUAGCAUCUUCCUCCUUGGUGCUUUGUUUGGUUUUGGUUUUUUUGAGACAGGGUUUCUCACUGCCCUAGACGUUCCCCAAGUCAGUGAGGCUAGCUAGCCAGUGAACCCCAGGAAUGUGCCCGUCUCAGUGUCCCCAUCACUGGAAUUAGCGCGUCAUCACACCCCCUGUUCUUUUUAAAUGUGAUCUAGGGAUCAAACUCUGGUCUUCAUGCUUACAAGACAAGCACUUUAUCAACUGUUCCGUUGCUGGAGCCUGGAGCCUGUUUCCUAAUCUGAUUUUUAAUCAUAGUUUCCAGUAUCUGAUGCACUGGAUUCAUCUGAUGCACUGGUCUUUCGGGCAAGUCUUUAAUCAUCCCUUUUACUUCUGCCCAACUCCAACUUCCUUAGAAUAAAUAAAAGCUUCAUUUCUCUUGUUAUAUGAAAACUGGAACUGGACGUGUGAACUGUUCAUGUGUUAAUGAACUUCCUAAAAAAUGCCUGACUAGCUAACUCACCUGAGAGAGCUCUGGGGGUUCCAGGCAUUGCCAUGUUUGGCCCUUCUGCUUCUGGCCUGUGGUGAGGCUACACAUUAUGGUGGGAAGUGUAUUACCAUGCAAAACUGCUCACUUCGUGGUGGGCAAGUGAGCAAGAGGUGGGGAGUUUUCUACCCCCUUCUGCUACACACCCACAAGGCCACACACCUCCUAAAGUUUCUGCUGCCACCCAGUACUGCCAUAGUAGACACUAAGCCCUCAAUACAUGGGCCUUCAUGGGACAUUUAACAUUCAAAUUACAGGAGCUUAAGACUCGGAAGUACAAAUGACUUUUUUUUCAUGUAUCUGUGUGUGUGUAUGGUAUGCAUGUAUGUGUGUUCAUAUGUAUAGGGGCACAUAUAAGUGUGUGUGCAUACCUGUAUGUGUGCAUGAUGGCCUGAGGCUAAUAUAGACUCUUCUUCAAUUGCUCUUCACCUUAUUCAUUGAACCCAGAGUUUGCUAAUAUAACUACCUAGUUUGCCUCCAGGAAUCUUGCUCAGCCAACUCAUGUAGGUUCAAGGUAGUCUAAGCUCUAGGCUCAUACUUGGGCAGCAAAUGUUUUAUAUACUGAGCCAUCUUCUCAGCCCCUAAAUGACUUUUUAGUAACAGAUUAUUUUAUUUUAUUGUACAAAUGUUUUGCUUGCAUUAUAUAUGUGUACCACAAGCAUGCCUGGUGCCCACAGAGGUCAGAAAAGAGCAUUGGAUCUUCUGAAAUGGGAGUUAGGAUGGUUGAGCUACCAUGUAGCUGCUGGGAAUUGAACCUGUGGCUUCUGCAAGAGCAGCAAGUGCUCUACACCACUAAGCCAUGUCUGCAGCCCCCUCCCUAGUAUAAUUUUUGAACAAUAAACUUUUAAAUAAAAUACUAAGCCUU